CUCUCACGCGCACUAUCCUCCGUCUCCGGUGGCCAAACGAAGCCACAAGACGUCAUGACAUGGCUGAGCUCGGCUCUGACGAACCACGACACUUGCGCGGAAGGGUUCGAUGGCGUCAACGACGGUGGCGUGAAGGAUCAGAUGACGGCGGCGCUCAAGAAUCUCUCGGAGCUCGUCAGCAACUGUUUAGCGAUAUUCGCGGCGAGCAGUAACGGAAACGAUUUUGCCGGAGUGCCG
RNAcentral lists this long non-coding RNA (237 nucleotides) under Brassica rapa (field mustard). Its description in RNAcentral is "long non-coding RNA (BRAP_LNC004454)". The record is from RNAcentral. Lineage: Eukaryota; Viridiplantae; Streptophyta; Magnoliopsida; Brassicales; Brassicaceae.